CUAUUGGCAAUGAUGAAAGUAAAAACUAUACGGUGGAUCUUAUAGCCAAAUGGAUGAUGACUAUGGAUAGACGAGGCCAAAUAUAUUUCAUUCCUUGGAUUGUUGAUCGACAUUGGAUGUUGGUGCUCGUGAUGAUGCGGGGGAUGACCAUAAUUUUGGACCCUUUAAAAAAUCAUAAAUCUCCACCAAUAAUUACGGAGGUUAUGGAAAAAGCAUACGCACAAUGUUUGGAAAAUGAAUACAUCGGCACAUUUACAAAAUUGGUGAGAGGUUCUUGUCCAAAACAACCUGAAAGUCAUGAA
This is a long non-coding RNA of Humulus lupulus (European hop), 302 nucleotides long. RefSeq lists it as uncharacterized. The transcript has 3 exons. The record is from RefSeq and is a predicted model, not a curated record. NCBI's taxonomy places the organism in Eukaryota, Viridiplantae, Streptophyta, Magnoliopsida, Rosales, Cannabaceae.